Molecule: unclassified non-coding RNA, 376 nt
Filed under: uncultured Actinomycetes bacterium
Lineage: Bacteria; Bacillati; Actinomycetota; Actinomycetes
Description: uncultured actinobacterium contains 16S-23S intergenic spacer region
Source: RNAcentral
UCACUGCUUGCGCAGGCAGUCUCGCUAGAGUCCCCGGCAUUAUCCGCUGGCAACUAGAGACAAGGGUUUCGCUCGUUGCGGGACUUAACCCAACAUCUCACGACACGAGCUGAUGACAGCCAUGCACCACCUGUGUAGGGCCCCGAAGGACACCGUAUCUCUACGGCUUUUCCCUACAUGUCAAACCCAGGUAAGGUUCUUCGCGUUGCAUCGAAUUAAGCAACAUGCUCCGCCGCUUGUGCGGGCCCCCGUCAAUUCCUUUGAGUUUUAGCCUUGCGGCCGUACUCCCCAGGCGGGGUGCUUAAUGCGUUAGCUUCGGCACGGAUGGAGUCGACACCACCCACACCUAGCACCCAUCGUUUACGGCGUGGACUAC